UUGAACGCUGGCGGCAUGCCUAACACAUGCAAGUCGAGCGAGGUGUAGCAAUACAUCUAGCGGCGGACGGGUGAGGAAUACAUAGGAAUUUGCCUUUAAAGUGGGGGAUAGCCCGGGGAAACUCGGAGUAAUACCGCAUGACGUAGCAAUACCAAAGCAGGGGACCGCAAGGCCUUGCGCUUUUAGAGAAGCCUAUGUCGGAUUAGCUAGUUGGUGAGGUAAUGGCUCACCAAGGCAACGAUCCGUAGCUGGUUUGAGAGAACGAUCAGCCACACCGGAACUGAGACACGGCCCAGACUCCUACGGGAGGCAGCAGUGGGGAAUCUUGCGCAAUGGGCGAAAGCCUGACGCAGCGACGCCGCGUGAGGGAUGACGGCCUUCGGUUGUAAACCUCUUUCAGCUCCGACGAAGCGGAAGUGACGGUAGGAGCAGAAGAAGCACCGGCCAAC
Molecule: ribosomal RNA, 449 nt
Filed under: uncultured bacterium
Lineage: Bacteria
Description: bacterial SSU rRNA
Rfam family: Bacterial small subunit ribosomal RNA
Source: RNAcentral